Molecule: ribosomal RNA, 253 nt
Filed under: uncultured bacterium
Lineage: Bacteria
Description: partial 16S ribosomal RNA
Rfam family: Bacterial small subunit ribosomal RNA
Source: RNAcentral
UACGUAGGGGGCAAGCGUUGUCCGGAAUCAUUGGGCGUAAAGAGCGUGUAGGCGGUUCGGUAAGUCGGCUGUGAAAGUCCAGGGCUCAACCCUGGGAUGCCGGUCGAUACUGCCGGACUAGAGUUCGGAAGAGGCGAGUGGAAUUCCUGGUGUAGCGGUGAAAUGCGCAGAUAUCAGGAAGAACACCCGUGGCGAAGGCGGCUCUCUGGGACGGUACUGACGCUGAGACGCGAAAGCGUGGGGAGCGAACAGG